AGCAGGGGCUUGCGGAGUUCCAAACUGAAAUUGAAAUGCUUUCUCAAUUCCGUCAUCGCCAUCUAGUGUCUUUGAUUGGUUAUUGUGAUGAAAGGAAUGAAAUGAUCUUGAUAUAUGAAUAUAUGGAGAAGGGUACUCUCAAGGGUCAUUUAUAUGGUUCAGGUCUGCCAAGCUUAAGCUGGAAGGAGAGGCUUGAGAUAUGCAUUGGAGCAGCUAGAGGGCUUCAUUACCUUCACACUGGCUAUGCUAAAGCAGUUAUUCACCGCGAUGUGAAGUCUGCAAAUAUCCUACUUGAUGAGAACCUGAUGGCUAAAGUUGCUGAUUUUGGAUUAUCAAAGACGGGGCCUGAAAUUGACCAGACACAUGUUAGCACAGCUGUUAAAGGUAGUUUUGGGUACCUUGAUCCGGAGUAUUUUAGGAGGCAACAACUAACAGAAAAGUCAGAUGUAUAUUCAUUUGGGGUAGUUCUGUUUGAAGUUCUUUGUGCAAGGCCUGUCAUAGAUCCAACACUUCCUAGAGAAAUGGUAAACUUGGCAGAAUGGGCGAUGAAAUGGCAGAAGAAAGGACAGUUGGAGCAAAUCAUAGAUCAAACACUUGCAGGCAAAAUAAGACCAGAUUCUCUAAGGAAGUUUGGAGAAACUGCUGAGAAAUGCUUGGCUGACUAUGGUGUGGACAGGUCUUCUAUGGGAGAUGUCUUGUGGAAUUUGGAGUAUGCUCUCCAACUUCAAGAGGCCGUGGUUCAAGGUGAUCCUGAAGAAAACAGCACCAAUAUGAUUGGAGAACUCUCUCCACAAGUCAAUAAUUUCAACCAGGAUGCAAGUGCUUCUGUUACACAAUUUGCUGGCUCAAGCCUCGAUGAUCUGUCUGGUGUUUCUAUGAGUAGGGUGUUCUCACAGUUGGUGAAGUCUGAGGGUAGAUAGAUGGUUCUGGAUAUCCUAUCUUAUAAAUUUUGUGGGACAGUACUCUUCUGUUAUAAUUUUUGUUGUUUGUCUUCUGAUCACUAGCUCUCUGCCCCGACUCGGAAGAUUAGGCUCUUCAUAUCAUAGAUUUGUAAAGAAAGACUGAGUUAAUGAAAUAUAUAUGUUUGCUUAAUUGGUAAUCAGAGAAUCUACUUGUUAAAACUCUGGUUUCUCAGGUUCGAAUUGAACUGUCUUGAAAAGCCAGUGUAAGUUGUGCAACUGCAACCGCUCAGGUGUACCUUAUCAGCUGGAGAAAGAGCUGAAUCAGCAAGUGUGGCAAAGUUCUCUGAUUAAACUGCCAUAUAGAGUUAGGUUAGAUGUUUUGGAUUUGUAUCUUUUAUACUUUUUGUGACCCGAGAGGGUAUUGUAGGAGUGGAUUUUAGGCAAUUUCCAAGCAUGGUUUUUUAUAUUCUCAGUCAUUUGUUACCUCUACUAUAUUUCUGAUGUACUUGCUGUUAAUACAAGCUACAUGGUUUAUCAUAUUUUCUGUCAUUUAUUUCCUCCAAUUGAUUUCUUAUGUAUUUGCUGUUAAUACAAGCGCGGUUAGAAUCUUUGUGCAUUGGCACAAGGGAUGCCAAGUCUGAUGCAACAAGAUAAUACAUAGGGAGUAACUUAAUGGCACUAUAGGAAAAAGCUGUAGUCUGCAUAAUAAUAAAGCUUGUUAUUGUUUCCCUCCUUAAUAUUGCUAUGCCCAACACCAAAAGAACAUAUUGUUACCACAACCAAUCCCGAGCCAUGUGUCUAACCACCCCAAUCCUUUGAGUUUGUGGAUACCUUAUUCCAGUUUUCAAAUCUCUGAGAAAAUAUUUUUAGUUUUUAUUUUAUUAAUAAUUAUAAAAAUAUCACCUCUUUUUUUAUCAGUCACCUCAUUUUUACUUUGCUUUAUAUUCUUAAAUAUUUAUGUAGGAAUCAAUAAAAAUAAUAGAAAAACUCAUGAAAAUAAAAAAAUACUUUCACUUCAUAAUUGUUAGCGAAAACAAAAAAAUUCCUUUUUCAAACUAAAUAGGCUUAUGCUUUCAUUUUUUAUUUUACUAACAGAAAAAGUAUUUUAAUCUUAUUUUUUUCUUUAUUUUAAAAUUUUUAUGAGUACUGAACCCUAUAAAGACUUGGUUAAUCUUAGAAAAUAUUUUGUUUUUAUUUUAUUUUUUACAAAUAAUUUUAAAAAUUUACUAUAUUUUUAUUUUAACUGUUUAUACCAAAAGUUGCAAAAACAAUAUUUUGUCAUCUUUUUUUUUCGUUUAUAUUAUAAUUUUUAAAAUAAAAAAUAAAAACAUCACUUUUAUCAUUAUUCAUAAAAAAAUCACAAUUCAAACAAAUCUAAAAUGUUGUUUUCACCAUUUUAUAUAUAAAUUUUAAAAAAGUUAAUAUAAAAAUAUGAUAACAUUGUUUAUAAGGUUUUUUUUUUAAAUUGUCUCACAUAGUCUCUAAAAAAAUUGCCUCACAAAAAAUGAAUGAUAAGAUGAGAAGUAUAUAAAGAUAAAAUGAUCCGUGAACUUAAUAUUUUGUAGUUUUGAAAUAAAAUUGUAACAUUGAGUUCACUAUUACUAAACAAAUUUAUUUACUAAAUACUCAAAUAAAUUUUUCAACUAGUAAAAAACUUUAAAAUUAGUUAAAAUGUUUUGUCAAACAUAAUCAUAAUUAUGUAUUUGUUAUUUUUGUGAUAACAGUUAUUAUGAUUUAAAAUAAAAAUUAAUUUCAAUUUUACGUGUAUAAAUAGUAAAUAUUUUUAUAAAAAAUAUUACUUAUUAAAAACUAGGCUUUUAAACAAUUACAAAGAAAUGUUUUUUUAGCUCUACUUAAUAGGUUUCUAAUCCAUUUCUACAUAGAUUUUUGGAUCUUUAUUGUGCAUGAGACUUAAUUAAAGAUUUAAAAGUAUUUUUAGAGAUCAAAAUCACAAUACAUGUUAAAUUCAAAAAGUUAAUUUUUUAAUAUGUGAUAAUCAAGUGGAUGAUAAGGAACAUAGGUCACUUUAUUAUUGAAAGUGUCAAUAUAGGCCUAUUCGUUUGAUGGAACUACUUCUCAUACCAUGGAAAGUGUCAAUAUAGGCCUAUUCGUUUGAAAGUGUCAACAUAAGUCACUUUAUUAUAGCACAAAGGCAGUCAAAGACAUGGGUUCCUUUAUCCAUCAAAUGAUGGAACUACUUCUCAUACCAUGGGAAGUAAAUAUUCUAAUGGCACAACACUGAGUGCUGCUUCAAACUUUGAGUACCAUGUCCCUUUUGUGGCGGUUCAGGAGGCUAGAAAUAAUUUUGAUGAGUUGGGUUAUUGGCAUUGGUGGUUUUGGUAUAGUGUACAAGGGAGAGUUAAGUGAUGGCACAAAAGUGGCAGUCGAGAGGGGGAAUCCACGGUCAUAGCAGGGGCUUGCGGAAUUCUGAACUGAAACUGAAAUGCUUUCUCAGUUCCGUCGUCGCCAUCUGGUGCCUUUGAUUGGUUAUUGCAAUGAAAGGAAUGAAGUGAUCUUCAUAUAUGAAUAUAUGGAGAAGGGAACUCUCAAGGGUCAUUUAUAUGGUUCAGGUCUGCCAAGCUUAAGCUGGAAGGAGAGGCUUGAGAUAUGCAUUGGAGCAGCUAGAGGGCUUCAUUACCUUCACACUGGCUAUGCUAAAGCAGUUAUUCACUGCGAUAUGAAGUUUGCAAAUAUCCUACUUGAUGAGAAC
Molecule: long non-coding RNA, 3612 nt
Filed under: Glycine max (soybean)
Lineage: Eukaryota; Viridiplantae; Streptophyta; Magnoliopsida; Fabales; Fabaceae
Description: long non-coding RNA (GMAX_LNC003333)
Source: RNAcentral